RNAcentral lists this transfer RNA (62 nucleotides) under Batracomorphus lineatus. RNAcentral's name for it is "tRNA-Trp". Lineage: Eukaryota; Metazoa; Arthropoda; Insecta; Hemiptera; Cicadellidae. The record is from RNAcentral.
AAGAUUUUAAGUUAAAUAAACUAUUAGCCUUCAAAGUUUAAAAUACAUAAUAGUAAAUCUUA